UAAAAUAUUCUAGGAGCUUGAGGGGCCCUUGGGUGGCUCAGUCAGUUGAGCAUGUGACCCUUGGUUUCGGCCCAGGUCAUGAUCUCAGGAUCCUGGGAUGAAGCC
Long non-coding RNA from Mustela erminea (ermine), 105 nucleotides. RefSeq lists it as uncharacterized. NCBI's taxonomy places the organism in Eukaryota, Metazoa, Chordata, Mammalia, Carnivora, Mustelidae. The transcript is spliced from 3 exons. The record is from RefSeq and is a predicted model, not a curated record.